CAGCCGUAAACUAUGCUCGCUAGGUGUCAGGCAUGGCGCGACCGUGUCUGGUGCCGCAGGGAAGCCGUGAAGCGAGCCACCUGGGAAGUACGGCCGCAAGGCUGAAACUUAAAGGAAUUGGCGGGGGAGCACAACAACGGGUGGAGCCUGCGGUUUAAUUGGACUCAACGCCGGACAACUCACCGGGGACGACAGCAAUAUGUAGGCCAGGCUGAAGACCUUGCCUGAAUCGCUGAGAGGAGGUGCAUGGCCGUCAGUGACU
Molecule: ribosomal RNA, 262 nt
Filed under: uncultured archaeon
Lineage: Archaea
Description: partial 16S ribosomal RNA
Rfam family: Archaeal small subunit ribosomal RNA
Source: RNAcentral